AUGAGGAAAAAUUUAUUGGAAUUUAUAAUUACAACGUAUGAUAGUAGUAGAAAACGAUUUAUUAUUCGGCCAAAUACUGACGGCAUCAGUGUGCUUAACGAAGAUGUUUAUGACAUAUUCGGGCUACGUAACGAGGGUGAUGAUGUCAAUAGCAUGAUAGCAACAGUACAACUAGAUGCCAAAAAGUUGUUCCGAUCAUAUGAUGAUGAUUUUGUGAGAAGGGCCGUACUGGUUCUUAUGGGUACAGUCUUAGCACCACAAUCCACCAAGUUUGUUCCUUAUCGUUAUUACAAAAUGGUGGAGGACGUGAACGCUAUCAAGUCAUACAAUUGGAACGAUUUCACGUUGGGGGGGGGGUGCAUGGAUGCUAUUAAAAAAACGGUCGAAGAUCUUGAAAAAUUCAAGUGGCCUAUCGGGAACUUGGCUCUUCUUCAGAAACGGAAGGGAAAAAGCGAGACGACUAUGACAACAUGCACAGGUGGGGCACCGGCAAUAUUGAAAACUGCAUUAGCGAAGAGUACAGACGUGCUAAGGUUGAACACGGAAGGUGUGCUGUACAAACCCAAUAAGAGGGACAACAAUGACGAAUUUGAUAAUGUAGGUGAAGGAGUUGGGAUGGAGAAUGGCAAGUACAAGUCAUCAAAAUGUUGGCCAGAUAUUGAAUCACCUACGGAUGUAAAGAUAGGAACAUCUUUCACGGGUAUGAAUGAUACCUCCGUGCCCGUUGAUGACACGGGUGCUCCGGCGACGACACCGGGUAAAGGUGAAGCUACGAUCCUUUCAUUAUAG
RNAcentral lists this ribosomal RNA (789 nucleotides) under Triticum aestivum (bread wheat). RNAcentral describes it as "partial small subunit ribosomal RNA". The record is from RNAcentral. Lineage: Eukaryota; Viridiplantae; Streptophyta; Magnoliopsida; Poales; Poaceae.